GAAGGAGGGAGCGAGCGGUGUAAAUGGUGGGCGAGGGAGAGAGUGGGAGAUGAUUCACGCUGUUUCUGAGCCCCCUUCCGCCCCUGCCCGCCCUAGUGCCGCGCCUGACGCUGCGGCUCAGCUGCCCGCCGCUCCCGGGCUCCCGUGCCCUCCCUCGCUGUCGGGCUCGUGUGCACGGGGGUGGAGAGGGGGAUCGCUGCCGGGGUGGUGCGGCGCUCCUCCGCUCUAGCCCCAACACCGCGGGCGACCGGCUGGGGCCGCCACCCUCAGCUGCACCGCAGAAACCCUAAAGGCAGGAGAGGCUGCGCCUCACAGGCCCGCAGCUGCGUGGGAGGACGGCUGAGAUCGCCCGAGGAGGUGGUGGGAUAGCGGGGACGUGUCCUCGUCGAGGCUGGCUGCAGCACUCGCGCGGCGCGGCGCGACCCGGCCGCUGUGGCCGCGGCCCUCCCUCCGUCCGUCCCCGCUCGGUCCCUGCCGGCCGCCGCGGGUGGCGGGCGGGGGGCAGCGCUGCCGCUCCGCGCCGGAGCCGGGGACGCGCCGGGCUGCAUCGCGCAGGCUUGUAAAGGAAAUAAUAAAGAUAUUAUUGUUAUGCUGUGACAGCCGGUCUAGCUGGAGCUGUGCGACACAAAGCCGCGUUGGUUACCUAAAUAUUUCGUAGAGAACUUAAAGAUAUUUCCCUGCGGCGGAGGCUAUUUCUGUUUACAAAUCUCAAGUUAUUCAGGUGGACGCUUAAAACGUUGUAAGAUGCGGGGGGAUGGGUAAGCAGGGCGCGGGGAAUUGCCUGGGCACCAGAAAAGCAUUUUUACUAUUUGACUCUCUGCUAUUUAUUGACUCGUUUCCUUUGAAAAAAUUUCUAAACCCGCUGUAACUGUGACGGUAGUGGUCAGUACUGGAGCAUCAAUUCGUACAAAAUUUAGGAACGUGUGUUUAUUGCAUUACACCACGCUCUGUGCUAAAUUCGUAUUGAUGUGUGUGUGCGCGGCAUGGCUGCUGACUCGAUUCCUCCUAAUACACGAGCUUAAAACCUGGCUGUUUGUGGAUGAAAUCCAAUUUCCAUUCUAAGCUCCCUGGGAGACAGCCUUAGUUUUAGUAAUCACUUACCAUUAAUACUGCCCCAAACAAUUUUUAAUACUUAAAAUACACAUAUCAUGUAUAAUAUAUAGCACAUCACCUCUGCUUAUAAAUUGCAAGCCAGAUAUGUAAUGCAUUAUAGGAUAUUAAACCGUGCACACAUUAACAUCUAAACAGGCUCCUGCCCAAAUGCAUUCACAAAUUAAGAACUCAAUCCAGCACUGUACAUAGGAAACUUUCAAUGACUUCUUUGGGAAUUGUGUCCCAGGAAUGUGAUAUCUAGCCUCCUUGCCAGCAGAUGAAAUAGAUGCAGCAGAUCAGUAACAAUUUGAUAGCAUAUAUGGUCAGAAAAAUGAUUGUAUAAAAAUGGAACUUUCUUACUCAUCAUAUACCCUUUGUAUCUAAGAUACUCUGACUCAUAAUUGCUUAGUUUACUGACUGAAAUAAAAUUCUAGGCUUCUGUUACCUUGGCAGUUGCUGACACAAUUAUGGUACAGCAAACUGGGGACUGGUUCUAACUCUUCCAUUUUCUUUACUAAGUUACAGCCAAAGAAUUUUAUUAGUAUUUGAGCCAGAAAGAGCACAGCAUGACUUGUAAAUCUCAGGUCCAGUCGGUAGGGUCAUCAGUCCUAAGAGGCCUCUUUUUUAUUUGUAAACCAAGCGAAUGACUUACAGAAACUUUUGAAGACAAAAAUAAACCCCACGAUGUUCGAAUUAAGCCAUCUUGAGUCAAUUUCCGCAGUGGAACUGGAUAAAUUGUAACACUGCUCUCUUUAUCUCACUGACUAUGUCCCAUUCAUCUGUAGCAACAUUGAAACAAACAAUUCUCUGGUUUUUAGACCACAUCUGUUUUACUGUGCCCCCUGCACCAAUUUUAAUUAUGUGACAGAUCUGAUUGGAUUCAGCACCUGCAAGUCCUCCCUUUGGGAUCUCCAAUUAGCUUAUAAAACAUUUACUUGAUUGCAUUCUUGAAACAAAAAUAUUGUUUCAUCCUAACAACAGAAAUAUUAAAGUGUAGAAUAAGAAAAGGUUUCAACGUGAUUUGUGGGUAUGUUGUUUGUGUAUCUAACUUCCAUAAGCUUAGAGGAAAAAGUGGUAAUCCUGAAACCUAAUUUCCUCAGACUCAGCAGAUGUCUGUCCUGUGUUAGCUUGUUUCUUUACUGACAGCUGUUUCACAAGUGCCUCCCCUCGUCUCUACAGAAUGCCUUUUGUUUAAUAAUUUCCCUCUACAUUAUCUCCCAUCCCACUUAGACAAGCUUUUUCAACUUUUCUGGUAGUUUUAGAAGGUUUUUCUGUAGUUUAAAGACAGGCUUAUUUUCGAAGAAAGUAGUUUUGACUACAUAACUAGCCUCUCAGAUAGUCUCUUAGUAACAGUUCUACUUAACAAAGCGGAUAGCUGCAGGUAAUCAACAUUUCAACCAAUACCGAUUUAGUAUUAAGGAAAGUUUUAAUUUUUACAGGUAAGCUUCAGAAUAUGCGCUUUUUUCUCCUUAUUAAAUUGCUUGGAGCAGUGAUAGUGAAGGUCUGGGGGGCAAUAUAACAUAAAGUACAGCCCUCUAGUGGCAGAGGUCACUUGGAGUUUAAAGCAAGCUGUGUCUUUGUCAUGGGUGGGGGCAAUGAACGGAACAGCUUUUAGCAAAAUGCAGGCAACUGUCCUGCAUUGUUCAUGGUCUGAAGCACGAGUGAAAAUAGUUGUGGCGGCCUGUAAUACCACCUUGCUCCCACUCUGUUGUAAUAUCUGUGCAGAAAGUACUGAUGAAAACUCUACUGAUCAGUAGAGUUUUCCUCUUUUUCCAAAUUUGUAAUCUGUUGUUCAUCUUUUCUGUUUUCAGCCAGCUCCAGACUGGCGUACCUGACCAGAGGUUUUUCAAGCAGUUGUGAGAUCUUGACUUCUUUCCUGUCUGUAUCAGUCAUGUCCUACCACAUAAUGUAUUCUGUAACUUCAGUAAGAGUUUGUUCAGAGAUGACAUGGAGCACAAAUUCCAUUUGCCAGCUUUAUUUCUAAAAUCAUUCUCAGCUGGUGGAGAUGUGAAUGGAAGCAUUCAAAUUAAUCUCUCCCACAGACAUGAGACCUAUGCUUAGAAGUGAAGAGGAUUAGGAAUAGGGAGAAAUUAAGCAUAUAUUUUAACAAAUAGAAAUCUAAAUAAUAAUAACUGAGGUGAAGUUGUAGUAGACAUCACUUAAUCUGAUAAAGUCUACUUUGUGGAACAAGACUCAAUCUCCUGUUUCUUUUAGAGGUGAUGGAUAGUUCUCAUCUGACUAACAGAAUGAAGAGUUCAUUUUUCCUCUUAUGGGAAAUAUGACAGAGUCCAAUAAUCAUUGGAUGAAAAACGAUACCUCUUAAACAUCUUGGCUAGGUAAAAGAAAACAAAUUCUGUCUUUGUCCAAAAGGACUGGCAGCUUUUCAUUACUGGAUGAUUGCUGUGACUCCUGUAAACUUUGGCUUCACUAAAAUUACGGUUAGUGAUGAACUUGGAAGACUCUUUCAAGUCUUUAACAUCCAUCUUCUGUUUAUGACACUUUUUUCCUCCAAUAAUCUAUCAGUUAAACUCUUAUUAUUGUUGAUGAAUUUAUCAAUUUGUUGCUUGUUUAAAUACUCCAGAGUUUGUUCAUCAGGAAGUAUUUUUUAAUUUCAGUGGAACUUCUCCAAGAUUCCAGCAAUAUUAACCUGAAAAAAAUCAAACCCAUGUUUGGGAAAAAAAUUCAACAUAUAUUAGACAGAAAAUGACCCAAUUAUCUUUUUUUCACAUUUAUAUUGGUUUUAUUAUGUGCACCUGUAUUAUAUGCAUUGCUGAACUAAAAGCAAAGUGUUAAUACUCUUCAGUGAAAAGAGCAUGGACAACUGCUAAACCUUUUCAUAUUGUAGAUCAUUGCUGUGUAGUAGCUUUCUUUUUCUGGGAAACUGAGAAUGAUAACUUAGAAUCAGUAAAAAUGUGACCGUACUAUUUGUCAUAACGUGAAUAAAUUCUUUUUCUGCUGGUGGAAGGAGGAAAUCAAUGCCCAUUUAUUUCUCAGCAGAGAGAUCACCUGUCUCCUGUUCUGACAAAGUUCAUCCAAUUUUACAGAUCCUUUUUUUGACUUUUCUUCAGAAUUGGGGAAUUGAGUUGAUCUGAGUUCUUCACUGCUGAAUCUGUAGGUCAGAUUUAUAAGGGGUUACCUGACGACUUACCCAGAUCUCAGUGUAGAAAAGAAGAUAGCCUCAGGACAAGGUUUAGGUUGUUUCCUCUAGAACAGAAAAAAAUCAUAUGCUGAAACAGUAAAAAUAAAAUUGCUGCAGAACUGAGUCAUUGCAAGUGAGAUGAAUGCCCAUAAAAAAAGUACAAAUUACAAAAAAACCCCAGAAACAGGAUCAUUGUGCAUUAGCAACAAUGCUUGCAGAUUCAUCAUGGCUCACAACAAAAGUAUUUAUAAGUGGACCUCCUGCCUCUGUUGCAUGCUGUCAUUGCUUUGGAUUGACUGCUGUUAGAUCCCUGUAAUCCUGAGCCCCAGGAUCUUGUCUUACAUGUUUACCCCACUUGGUAUGCAUGUCAGUACGUAUUUAAAAUGGAAAUGAACUCUAAUCUUUGUAUGUGUUAAUAGAAAAGGGUUUUAAUCUCCUAAACCCUAUAUUUACCAUGGGUUUAUUUUGUUGUUUGGAUUUUUAAAAAUAAAGUUUAUAAAACGCUAUGUUCAGAAUUUCAGCUUCUAUUUGUUUGUUUAUCCACUACAGUUUGGUUAGUAUUCGGCAUUUCUUAACUCAAUAGUGUGUCAUGGCAAUAAUAUUAUGGACUAUGUUCAAGGAUGAGGAGAAGAAUAGAGUAACAACAACCACUGGUCUAAAAAUUACAUUUUAAUACUGGAAAGUCUUGUCAACUUUAUUUGUAAUGCACUUAUUAGAAUAAAAUUUCAUAUUAUAGAAGACUGGUGUUACAGAUAUAGAAAUAAUAUAUGACUGCCAUUCACUUGUGAGAUUAUGUUAUGUAGAUGUUAUGCAGAGGUUAAAACCUAAAUAUUUUCUAAUUUAGAAAAAGUUCAUUAAAACUAUCAUACUCCAUUCCACCUGAAAACACAUUUUUGCCAACAGAUGAAAAAUAAUGUACUUCCUUUGAAAGUGGUAAAAAAAGUCACCAAUAUAGUUGAAUUCUAGUCCUCACUCCUGUAAGAAAUUUCAUAUUUGCAGUUCCUUGUAUCCGGUACAAUUCUUAUGUCAUGUAGGAUCUUAAAAUCACUGUUAUUUUCAUAUUAUGAUUGUUAUUAAUAAAUUUUUGCAUCAUCCAGCUGCUCCUUGGAACUUGAUUUCAUGACCAUUUCUCUGACAACCCUCUUCCAGUGACUGAACACCCUCAGUGAAGCACCUUUUCCUGAUCUGGUUCUCAUCUGAACUUCCCCUGAGAGAGGUUCAUUCCAUUUCCUCAUGUCCUGUCACUGGUCACCAAAGAGAGAAAAUCAGCACCUUCCCCUCUACUGCUCUUCUUGAGGAAGUUGAAGACUGAGAUGAAGUCUUCCCUCAGCCUUUUCUUCUCCAAGCUCCAACCAACCAAGUGACCGUGGCUGCUUCUCCCUGCCUUUCACCAUCUUGGUCAACCUACUCUGAAUGCUCUCUGACAGUUUCAUGUUCUUCUUAUAUCAAGGAUAAUAAUAUAAAUGUGAAAUCUCUAGAGCAAUUUGUAUAAUGGUGUGAUAUGAUAAGGAUGCUUUUUCUUAAGAUCGUAAUGGAACAGGUAACUCCACCUAGAUAGAACCUUAUUCCUGACAUGAAUUCAUUGACAUCUGUAUGCUGUCAUUAAGGAAAUGGAUCUUCCACUUCCAGAAAUGUGUUUUAAAUUUAUAAAACUUUUAAAUUUUGUCUAGUAAAAGUAGUUUCAGCACAUUUGAGUCUACUUAUUGAUUUCAGGAUCACUUCUGGAACUAAAGGUGAUGUGAUGAGUAAGUCAGCCAACUCAGUCAGUAAAACCCCCACUUUUAACAUCUGUCAUCCAAUGUGGCAGGUUAUUUCCCAAGUAAAGUAACAUUGGUAAACUAAGAAUACCUGAGACACAGAAAGAGGACACAAAAGAUGAUAUUGUUCUAAUUAUAGUUCUAAUCAUUAUAGUUCUAAUCUAACAUCAUACACAAUCAGUAAAGCUAAUUUUUUUUAAGCAAAACAUACAAAAGUUAAAAUUCUUAAAGCAAAAAUGACUUUGCUUAGUGGCACAUACUUUUCAUUUUAAAGUAAAUGUGUUAACAGAAAUGAGGCUAUAACAAACUGUAAUUUUAAAGCUUAGCUAAGUUUAAAUAACAAUAGAAUAGUGUUUCCAUCAUGAUUUACUAUUUAAUGUAAAUUCUUCCCACUCAUCCCCCAAAUUAUCUUACUGUGCUCUUUUAAGAAUUUAACAUUUUAUAAAGAUGAAACAUUUGGUACAACUUUUAACAAUUUAAGAAAACAACAGAAGAUGAUGAUUCUAGUAAAUGAAUAUGUUAAGGGUUUUUUUUCAGAUUUUAGUGUCUAACUGUACCAGUCACAAUUUAGGCAGUAGCCACAUGUGGUUCAACCAAAGUCAAAGAUAAUAUUCUGUAUCAAAGCCUGAAAGACUUUGUUCAGUUACACAAGUGCCCAUUCACUUGAGUAGUCUUUAUUCAUAUAUGUGAUCAUUUUCAACACAAUUUUUUACGUAUAAUCAAAACACUGAAGUGCUGCGAAAAGAGUAUCUUCUCUUUUCUUGUGUUUUUGCACAAUUUUCUAUACAGGCAAAUAUUCUGAAAAACUAAAAGAAAAGAAAAUUUACUGUUAUGUACAGCAAUAAAUGUCUGUAAAAGAUUUUGGUGUCUAUGUUCCUAUUUCUACAACAAUAUACAUUAUUUUUAAUAAUUAUAAUCUGAAGCUUCAUUGUUCUUUAAAUACUGUUUUUUUGAUCAGAUUUCUUAGAUAAAUAUUACUUUGAAAAUGUAUUGAUAUUUGAAAAUAUCAAUACCUCAAACUUUGUAUUUGUCAAGUCUAACUCAACUAUCUUUUGGACUUUGUGGGUAAGUUAUUCAUUAUUACCUUGUCAUAAUGUGGAAGAACUGGAUUGCACUAUCUUUUAAUCCAAAGAUUACAUCAUCAUUACAUUACAUCAAAAUGGAUUACACAAAAAUGGUUGAAAGCCACUUCUCUCAUCAUUAUAAUUGUCACAUUAGUGAAAGAAAACAGUCAGCAUUCCAUAAACAUUUUAUUUCUUUAGAGUCUCAAGAUUUCCCAGGAGAACAAAUCAUAUAAUCAAACAAAAAUGCUUGGUGUGAUCAAUUCUGCAACACUGCAUUACAUUUUCUGGAAAGUCAUUUAUGAAGGAAUUAAUUGUGUCCAUGCUAUUCAGUGUUGUCUAUAUACCUUAAUAAAACAUGUGAUGACAGCAGGCAUUGGUCAUGGAAGUUUGAACUUUAUUUUAUUGUGAUUGUUUUCAAUACUCAGUUUGAUGAAAUGAGCAUUCUGUGUAAAUCCAGCCACCUGAGAAUGAAGUUAAAAAUUGUAAUUCCUUUAUCAAAAUAAAGAAGCAUUUCACUUGUAUUUAGUGAAUUUCAGUUGUAUUACACAUCUCUAGGAUCUGAAUUGCAUUUAAAUGAUCAAAAUCUUUAAAAUAAAAGAAAAAUAGAUUGUC
Long non-coding RNA from Corvus hawaiiensis (hawaiian crow), 7664 nucleotides. RefSeq lists it as uncharacterized. NCBI's taxonomy places the organism in Eukaryota, Metazoa, Chordata, Aves, Passeriformes, Corvidae. The record is from RefSeq and is a predicted model, not a curated record. The transcript has 3 exons.